Molecule: ribosomal RNA, 466 nt
Filed under: uncultured bacterium
Lineage: Bacteria
Description: partial 16S ribosomal RNA
Rfam family: Bacterial small subunit ribosomal RNA
Source: RNAcentral
GAUGAACGCUGGCGGCGUGCUUAACACAUGCCAGUCGAACGAUGAAGCCCAGCUUGCUGGGUGGAUUAGUGGCGAACGGGUGAGUAACACGUGAGUAACCUGCCCUUAACUCUGGGAUAAGCCUGGGAAACUGGGUCUAAUACCGGAUAGGAGCGCCUACCGCAUGGUGGGUGUUGGAGAGAUUUAUCGGUUUUGGAUGGACUCGCGGCCUAUCAGCUUGUUGGUGAGGUAAUGGCUCACCAAGGCGACGACGGGUAGCCGGCCUGAGAGGGUGACCGGCCACACUGGGACUGAGACACGGCCCAGACUCCUACGGGAGGCAGCAGUGGGGAAUAUUGCACAAUGGGCGAAAGCCUGAUGCAGCGACGCCGCGUGAGGGAUGACGGCCUUCGGGUUGUAAACCUCUUUCAGUAGGGAAGAAGCGAAAGUGACGGUACCUGCAGAAGAAGCACCGGCUAACUACGUG